RNAcentral lists this ribosomal RNA (119 nucleotides) under Notamacropus eugenii (tammar wallaby). The record is from RNAcentral. Lineage: Eukaryota; Metazoa; Chordata; Mammalia; Diprotodontia; Macropodidae.
CCUAACAGCCAUACCACCCUGAACGCACCCAAUCUUGUCUGAUCUCAGAAGCUAAGCAGGGUCAGGCCUGGUUAGCACUUGGAUGGGAGACCUCCUGGGAAUACCAGGUGCUGUAAGGU